RNAcentral lists this ribosomal RNA (671 nucleotides) under Phlebia sp. Its description in RNAcentral is "eukaryotic LSU rRNA". The stretch from base 237 to 390 matches the Rfam family "5.8S ribosomal RNA". The record is from RNAcentral. Lineage: Eukaryota; Fungi; Basidiomycota; Agaricomycetes; Polyporales; Meruliaceae.
UUAUCGAGUUUUUGAAACGGGUUGUCGCUGGUCCCGUUCUUAACAGAGUCGGGACAUGUGCACACCUGGCUUCAUUCCACUCUUCAACCCCUGUGCACUUGUUGUAGGUUUCAGGUCGGACGCGGGGCUUUCGACUUCAUCGUCGAGAGCUUUCAAGGAAAGCCUGAGCCUAUGUUUUACUACACACACGCUUCAGUUAUAGAAUGUAAACAUCGCGUAUAACGCAUUUUAAAUACAACUUUCAGCAACGGAUCUCUUGGCUCUCGCAUCGAUGAAGAACGCAGCGAAAUGCGAUAAGUAAUGUGAAUUGCAGAAUUCAGUGAAUCAUCGAAUCUUUGAACGCACCUUGCGCUCCUUGGUAUUCCGAGGAGCAUGCCUGUUUGAGUGUCAUGGAAUUCUCAACCUUUGAAAGCUUUUAUUGGUCUUCAAAGGCUUGGACUUGGAGGUCGUGUCGGCUCUGCAAAGAAUAUCGACUCCUCUGAAACGUAUCAGUGCGAACCUUUACGGAUCGUCUUCGGUGUGAUAAACGUCUACGCCGUGGUCGUGAAGUAUGAUCGUGUCCGUGCUUCUAACCGUCUCCUUUGCGAGACAAAAACUGUGUUACUUACUAUAAGUAACAUAGGCAUUGACAAUCUGACCUCAAAUCAGGUAGGACUACCCGCUGAACUUAA